AGUCACUGACAUUAGAUACCCGCGUAGUCCCAGCCGUAAACGAUGCGCGUUAGGUGUAUCGACGACCACGAGUCGUCGAGGUGCCGAAGGGAAACCGUGAAACGUGCCGCCUGGGAAGUACGGUCGCAAGGCUGAAACUUAAAGGAAUUGGCGGGGGAGCACCACAACAGGUGGAGCCUGCGGUUUAAUUGGACUCAACGCCGGACAUCUCACCGGAUAAGACAGCUGAAUGAUUGUCAAUCUGAAGGUUUUACAUGACUAGCUG
RNAcentral lists this ribosomal RNA (265 nucleotides) under uncultured archaeon. RNAcentral describes it as "partial 16S ribosomal RNA". It matches the Rfam family "Archaeal small subunit ribosomal RNA", at positions 716 to 982 of the family's 1478-position model. The record is from RNAcentral.